GAUGAACGCUGGCGGCGUGCCUAAUACAUGCGAGUCGAGCGAACGGACGAGAAGCUUGCUUCUCUGAUGUUAGCGGCGGACGGGUGAGUAACACGUGGAUAACCUACCUAUAAGACUGGGAUAACUUCGGGAAACCGGAGCUAAUACCGGAUAAUAUUUUGAACCGCAUGGUUCAAAAGUGAAGGACGGUCUUGCUGUCACUUAUAGAUGGAUCCGCGCUGCAUUAGCUAGUUGGUAAGGUAACGGCUUACCAAGGCAACGAUGCAUAGCCGACCUGAGAGGGUGAUCGGCCACACUGGAACUGAGACACGGUCCAGACUCCUACGGGAGGCAGCAGUAGGGAAUCUUCCGCAAUGGGCGAAAGCUUGACGGAGCAACGCCGCGUGAGUGAUGAAGGUCUUCGGAUCGUAAAACUCUGUUAUUAGGGAAGAACAUAUGUGUAAGUAACUGUGCACAUCUUGACGGUACCUAAUCAGAAAGCCACGGCUAACUACGUG
This 497-nucleotide ribosomal RNA is filed under the name uncultured bacterium. RNAcentral describes it as "partial 16S ribosomal RNA". It matches the Rfam family "Bacterial small subunit ribosomal RNA", at positions 28 to 507 of the family's 1533-position model. The record is from RNAcentral.